RNAcentral lists this ribosomal RNA (580 nucleotides) under uncultured Alphaproteobacteria bacterium. Its description in RNAcentral is "bacterial SSU rRNA". It matches the Rfam family "Bacterial small subunit ribosomal RNA", at positions 8 to 629 of the family's 1533-position model. The record is from RNAcentral. Lineage: Bacteria; Pseudomonadati; Pseudomonadota; Alphaproteobacteria.
AGAGUUUGAUUCUGGCUCAGAACGUACGCUGGCGGCACGCCUAACACAUGCAAGUCGAACGAAGUAGCAAUACUUAGUGGCAGACGGGUGAGUAACAUGUAGGUAUCUUCCCUUUGGCCUGGAAUAACACGAGGAAACUUGUGCUAAUACUGGAUAAGUCUUUACGGAGAAAGCUUUAUGCACCAUUGGAUGAGCCUGCACUUGAUUAGUUUGUUGGUGGGGUAAAGGCCUACCAAGACUAUGAUCAAUAGCUGAUUUGAGAGGAUGAUCAGCCACAUUGGGACUGAGACACGGCCCAAACUCCUACGGGAGGCAGCAGUGGGGAAUCUUGCACAAUGGAGGAAACUCUGAUGCAGCGAUGCCGCGUGAGUGAAGAAGGCCCUUGGGUUGUAAAGCUCUUUCGUCGGGGAAGAAAAUGACUGUACCCGAAUAAGAAAGGUCCGGCUAACUUCGUGCCCAGCAGCCGGCGGUAAUACGAAAGGGACCUAGCGUAGUUCGGAAAUACUGGGCUUUAAGGGGUCGUAGGUGUUUGAAAUAGGUGGUGGGUGAAAUCCCAGAGCUUACUCUGGGACUGGCCUUC